CAAUAACUGGUUUUAUGAAUUAUAAGUAUCUAUAUAACUAAAAGUAUUAUUUUCUUUGGAAUGAAUCAACAUUUAUAGAAAGUUUUGACGCUAUAAGCGACCAAUUCCUGAUGAACAUCGCAAUCGCCGCAGCAGAAGUAAAUGUGAUGUCAGAAUUUGUUGUUCACGUUGCAUGUGUGGUUUUCAACUAGUGCUUUACUUUUCAGUGCUUAAAGAUGAACACAGGAGUUUGGAAAGGCCACAGACACACGCUCAACGAAGCUGUGAUUUGAAGUUCGCUUGAGUCUCCUGGAUAGCAGUGCUGAAUUAUUCCCAUUUUUGUUAAGUGUGAUUGAUACCCGUAGCGCGUAUUUUGUUAG
Long non-coding RNA from Argiope bruennichi, 359 nucleotides. RefSeq lists it as uncharacterized. Lineage: Eukaryota; Metazoa; Arthropoda; Arachnida; Araneae; Araneidae. The record is from RefSeq and is a predicted model, not a curated record. The transcript is spliced from 3 exons.